AGUUGCAAUCAUCCGUGUCCAAGCUUGUAUCGACCACUUGUAUUGUAUAAUUUUCAUAAAAGAUUAGUUGGACAAAGAAUUUCCCUUCUCUUGCAACAAAAGUGGUGCGAUUGUUGUUCUCACACACAAGUUCAAAGUCAUAGAGACCACACUGGGGAGGUUGGUUUUUUAAUCGGAAUGGAAAACUGAUAUUCAAAUUCCCACAGAAAGUAGAGCCACAAUCUUGGUUAAUAAGUUGCCUAGCAAGACAAACACCAGGGAAUAGAAUUACAAAUAAAGCAAAAUGGGGCAUUAGGUGGCCCAACAAUCUUUUUUCUGGGAAACACCUCAAUCAAAGCACAUCUAAUUCCAAGAACAGAGCCGCGGUUAUCUCAAGCAAAAGAAAAAGAAGAUUUUAAUAUUAUUCAAAAAUUUUAAAUAAAUUUGGACCAUAUACUUGUAGAUCAACCUUUAUCACCUUAAUAAAUUCCAAUUACAAUGAGGAGGAACAAGACAAUGCAAGUCUUAAGUCUUCUUUGAAACACAAAAACAUUUAAGUGGCUGAGAGCAACAACUGUUAUUACUUUGGUCCUUUUGUGUUAUGUAAGACAACUAUUUGUUGGAUAUUUCUAAAAAGCAAGUUCAUAGUUAGAACUGUCAAGCAAGGCGACUCAAUGCCCAAUUGUAUAGAUUUUUUAUUUUAUUUUAUUCCACGAAUAAUACUUAACUACUUUUCAAAUAAUUUUAUUAAUAUAAUUACAUGUUUUUAUCCAUUCUACUGUGAUACUUGAACUUGACAACUAGUUAUAUUUUGGUUCCUAAACUUAAAAAAUAUGAAAGUUUUAUGAUGUAACUCUCUAAUAUUGUGCUACAUCAUCACUUGAAAAUUAAAAAAUAAUGUAUAUAAAUUUUUAGAGAAUGGCGUGGUACAAUCUCUAAGUGUUCAUUAUUUUAAUAAUCAAGUUGAUGAUUGAACCAGUCAGACCACUAUUACUCGAUUCAAUUAGUUUGAUCAGUUCGACUGCCAGACCAACAAUAAUUAAAUAAAUCAUUAAACAUUCAUAAAAUUCUAAAAAAAUAGAAAACAAAAUUUAUUAAACCGAUUAGACAUGGUCAACAGCUGGGGUUUUUCUCUAAUUUUUUAAUUUUUACCAAUUUCAAGUAAUUUUUAUAUUUAAUUGAUUCAACAUCUUUGUUCAAAUCAUUAUACCGAUCGAUUCUCGGUCCAAUCAAUCUAACCAUCCAAUCCACUCCUAUACUAGUAACACUGAUCAUAUUAUCAAAUCUUGAUGGAAUUCAGGUUUAAGUUUAAGGGACUAUAAUAGACUUAGCUGCCAAGUUUAGAUAUCAAAGUGGACCAAAAAUUUUCGCUUAUUUUAAAGAGAUCUUAUUUUUCUAAAAGUUUUUACUCUUUUUUUUAAUUACUAUAUAAUUUGUACUAAUUAUUUUAAAACAUGUGUUAAAUCAUUUUUAACCAUACUCAAAACCAUUUUUUUAAUCAAAUAUAAGUACUUAAUAUUUAAUUAAAUUAAAAAGAUCGAAGAGAUAAAUUUCAAAAUUAUAUAUGAACUUUAAUUUAAUGUGCAAUUGUAUAUAUGAAUUUUAAUUUGGUGCAAUUAUACACGUGUAACUCUAAUUAUGGUUCAAAUAUAUACUUGAAACUUUAUAUAUACAAUUACACAUUAAACCAUAGUGCAUGUAUACAUAAUUCAUAAAUUGUACAUAAGAAGUAUGUUUUGGUUAGUGUAAUAUAACUGUCAUUCAAGACACACCCUUUGAAAUUCAAGUUUUGAUUCAGAUUCUUUCUUCUUCUUUUUUUAAUAAAAUCUCUAUGAAAGGUUUUUUUUUUUUUUAAUUCCUUAACGGUAGUGAUUUUGGGUUAUGGAGAAAAGGAGUGAAAAGUUGUGAUUUUUGUGGAAGUAGGGAUUUUUCUGUUUUAAUAGUUUUAGAAAUGGGUUUGAUGGAGAUUUCAAUAAUGCUUCAUGUUGGAUUAGUUUUGUUGCUACUUUGGAUGCUUUCUCAAUUCAAUCUUUGCCAUCCACUCCCUUAUUUCCUGUCUCUCAUCUACCUCUAUUUGGGUUUCAUUCAUCUUCUGCUGAGAAUAAAAAAUGAAUCUUUUUUUUCUUUAUUUUUGAACUUGGAUUGAACUUUUUUUUUAUUGUUUUUGUUACAAAAAUUCCUUUUAUUUCUUUGUUCAUCAAAGGUUCAUGAAAUGUAUGUGACGAGAUUGAGGAAGAAAUUGGAGUUGGAGGAAAUAAUGCACAAAGAAACUAGACAUGUCAACAACAAAACAAUAAUGCCAACACUCUCAAACGCAACAACAAAAAUGUUUUCGAAAAGGAAAUAGGCAUCACACUUAGAGUAUAGAAAUACUUGGAUUGUAACCAUGAAAAACGAAAUAAGAUAACCAACAUCCUCAUCACAAUGGAUUCUCCUCUGAUUCAUUAGUAGCCUCUGCAAUGCAAUAACACGAUUAAAAAUUAUUGUAGCAGUAACUCUUAUAAAUAUUAAAAAAUUAACUUCCAAACACAUCCAUCACGUCUAAAUCUAAUCUAAGUCAAGGUUGGUCUAAACAUGAAAAUUCUAACCGACUCAUCUCAAUUCAAUUCAACUAAACCUAAACUAAAUUGACACAAAAAUCUAUUUAUACAAUUUACUUUUAAUUUAUAUAUAAUUUUAGUUAUGAUUUAAAUUUAUACAUUUAAUAUUGAACAAAUAGUCAAAAUAAAGAAAAUUGGUAAUUAUGAACAAUAACUUAACACAUAGGUAAUUAAAGAAAAUACUCAUAUAUAUUUAUAUAUAAGGCAAAAUAAUAUAAAGCUAAAAAGUGAGAUAAUGAAGUAAAAUGUUUCUAACCUUAUGCAAUAUUUGAACUCGCUACAAUAACACUAUCCAAUGGUGUACUUGGCUCAUCAUUAGAGUUCUCACAAUUAUGAACCUCCAUUGAUGUUUCAAGAGGAAGUUGAUGGAAUGGCUUAGGAGGCAUCUCAAGGAGUUCAACAUCAGAUUCAAGCAUCUUCAAGACUUUACUCAUUGAAGGACGAUCAGAAGGCAGUAAUUGUAUACAUCAAAAGGCAGUUAUUAUCAUCUUCUUCACCAUUACUUUUUCAUCGUCAGAAACAUCUCCUAGCUCUAUGUCCUCUCCUUGAUCUAAUCGGUCAUAAAUCCAAGAUGGAAAAUAGAUCUGACUAGUGUGGUCAGCAAAUGCAUUCACAUUCUUUCUCCUUCCAACCAUUUCCAUCAGUAACAUUCCAAAACUAUAAACGUCAGCUUUGUAUGAGAUGCCUCCAAGAUUUUUGUAAACCAAUUCAGGAGCAAUAUAUCCUAUUGUUCCUCGUGCCGCAGUGAGGGAGAAAAUGCUAUCAUCUACUGAAUACAAUUUAGCAAGACCAAAAUCGGAAACUUUUGGAUUAAAAUUCUCAUCAAGAAGAAUAUUGUGUGGCUUGAUAUCAAAAUGUAGAAUUUGCAUGUCACACCCUUGAUGCAAGUAGUGAAUUCCUUGAGCCACCCCAAGCACAAUAUCAAACAUUUUUUUCCAGCCCAAAGUGUUCUUAUUUUCUUCUGUAAAUAUGAUUUUAUCUAAAGAUCCAUUAGACAUGAAGUCAUAUACCAGAGCUUGCUUUGAUCCCUCCACACAAAAUCCAAUAAGUUUUGCCACAUUGGCAUGAUGAAUUCUCCCAAUAGAAGCAACUUCAUUUAUGAAAUCUUGGCCAUUACCCUUUGAUUUGCCCAGCAAUUUUACAGCCACGUGAUGCCCACUACGAAGCUUCCCUUUAAAUACUGAGCCAUAACCCCCUUCACCUAAUUUAUCUUUAAAACUUUUAGUCAUUUUUUUAAUUUCUUUAUAGGAAUACCUAAUGGGAACAAGAUUGUUUUGGCUUUGAAGGAACUCUUCGAUCAUAUCAUCCAUAGAUAAAUGUCUUCUUCUCCAUUUGUAUGUAACAAGAGCAAGCAAAAAAAUUAUCGCAGGCAACGACCUCGAUGAGAUAACUCCAACUUUAAAGAAAUACAAUGUAACACGUCAGUAAUUGUGAAAUUAAUCAAAUAAUUUUUAACUUACAUUCUAAAUAUAUAUAUACUGGGAUAGUUUUAUGCUGUUUUAAAAUUAACUAGUAUUGGAAAGAGUGGCAUAUUUCACUAGUUUUAUGCUGUUUUAUAAUUAACAUCAUUGAUACCUUGUGGUUACUCUUCUAUACCAAAUAAAAAACUUUGAAGGGCCAUUGAAAACCCAAAAAAAAAAAAACUCUGAAUUACAUGUUAUGUUUUUGUCAUUAGCAGGUCUACCUCAACAAAUUCAUAUUCAGAACUUCACACACAAAGUAAAUCAUACCAAGUGCAUACCAAUUAUUCUAACCUCACACAUUCGAAUAGAUUUCAUAAAUGAAACAAAAUCUAGAACCGCCAAAAAAAAUAAGAUUUAUUAAAUUCAAGAGCUAACUUUGUUGAUUGUUUUAGCAAAUUGAGUAUCCACCAAACUUAUAACCUGUGAAAGUUCUAAACAAGACCAUUAUGAAAACAAGCUUAAGUAAAACUCCAACAUCUUUCUUAACUUGACAAAAAAAUUCUUUCAUAAACUUUGAAGGGCCAUUGAAAACCCCAAAAAAACAACUCUGAAUUACAUGUUAUGUUAUUGUCACUAGCAGGUAUACCUCAACAAAUUCUAGCUAAAAGAAGUAAAUCAUAUACAAAGUGCAUACCGUUUAUUCUAACCUCACACAUUCAAAUAGAUUUGACAGGUCGGGUCCUGACAUUCACCCAAAUUUCAUAAAUGAAACAAAAUCCCCCCCCCCCCCCAAAAAAAAAGAAAAGAAAAAGAAAUGAUAAAUUUAAGUGCAUACCUGUUGCUUCAACAGAGUGAUCAUAAAUUGCUGUAGAAAUCCAAAGAUAAAAGAUAUGUAUAUCAGUAUAAUUAAAGAACAAAAUAGUAAAAUAUAAACAUGCAAAUAAACUCUGCAAAGCAUACUUUUAUACAUUUCACUAGCACCGGGUCGAUAGGGCCCAUGGAAAAUGAAAUGUUCAAAGCUCUUUCGGUAUCUUCUCAAACCAAUUUUAACUUCAUUCAAUCUGCAAUAUGAAUACACCCAAAUAAACAGAUUGAUGGGUUUGAUCCAAAACUUAUUAAAUGUUUUGCUAUGAACAAUAUCAACAAUUAGCUGUGUACUACUAAUUACAUAUCAAACAUUAGAGUUUAAAAACAAUGGUGGAAUAUUUACGUACUGCCAACUAAAUUGAAAAUUCAUGAAAAAUUAAAAAAAAUAAAAUAAAAAGAGAGACAUUAUAUUUUAAGAAGGUUCGCAGAAUUUAGAAACAUUGUGGUUGUAAAAACAUAAUCAAAUAUAAUUUUCCAAAAAGAAGACAAAACAGCAGACAAAGCAGAGGCAGAUACUAAAUUGGAAAUGCUUUUAGUUCAUUUGAUUGUUAGAUGUUGAUCAAUUUUAGAUGCAAAAUCAUGAUACUUAAUUAGCAUCAUAAAAUUUAAUUGCAAAAAAAGUAACAUAAAAUAAAACAAAACAAAAAGUAGAUGUUGUAACUAAAAAUUCCAGUCUGAUGAUUUAAUUAAUGAUGCACACUCAAAAUGCAAACUGAAAUUAUUAAAGAAAAAUACUUACAGUCUUUUAAACCAAACUUUGUUAUAGCAACUCUGGUAAUUGCAUCUAUCCCAUUCGACCCAAAAACCCUCUAAUAGUUUUUUGUAGAUAUUCAGUGUAGACAUGCCUAUUAUAUUAUCAGUCAUAAUUGGAACCUCCGCUUCAAUAGUGCAAGCUUGAUUGAUAUCAGAUGAGUGGGUGUUUCCAUUUAAAAAAUAGAAAUGGGAAGUUGGAAGGGAAGAGGAGAUAUUAUAUUUGAUGGUACAACGAGAAGCUUCAAUAUAAAGUGAUGAUUUUAUAGGUUUCGUGCAAUUCAUAACAUAAAUAAUGCUGAUCUCUAACCUUCCAUCAUAAUAAUAUUUAUUAUAAUAAUAAUUAUUAUUAUUAGAAGAAGAAAGGUAAAAAGAUGAUAGUUCAUAAUCAUAAGUAUAAUAAUAAUAAUAUACAGAAGUAAGAGGAAGGGAGUUGCAAUCAUCCGUGUCCAAGCUCGCAUCAACCAUUCGUAUUGUAUAAUUUUCGUAAAAGAUUUGUUGGACAGAGAAUUUCCCUUCUUUAUCGACCAAAAUGGUGCGAUUAUUGUUCUCACACUCAAAUUCAAAGCCAUAAUGACCACACUGGGGAGGUUGGUUUUUUAAUCGGAAUGGAAAACUGAUAUUCAAAUUCCCACAGAAAGUAGAGCCGCAGUCUUGGUUAAUAAGACGCCUAGCAAAACAAACAGCAGGAAAUAGAAUUACAAAUAAAGCAAAAGCGGGCAUUAGGUGACCCAACAAUGGCAGUUUUGCUUUUAAUUUUGGCAUGCUAAAAUUUUGGGUAAGGAAGAAGAACAAUAAUGGGG
This 6402-nucleotide long non-coding RNA is filed under the name Gossypium raimondii (Peruvian cotton). RNAcentral describes it as "long non-coding RNA (GRAI_LNC000891)". Lineage: Eukaryota; Viridiplantae; Streptophyta; Magnoliopsida; Malvales; Malvaceae. The record is from RNAcentral.